Molecule: long non-coding RNA, 397 nt
Organism: Olea europaea var. sylvestris
Lineage: Eukaryota; Viridiplantae; Streptophyta; Magnoliopsida; Lamiales; Oleaceae
Exons: 3
Source: RefSeq, a predicted model, not a curated record
CCCCAAAGGUCGAGAGGACGCCCGGCGUGAUUGAGGGUAAGAGACAUGCUGUUGACGAGACGGAGCAGGUGGUCGGCAAGAGGUUGAGAGUGCCGUCACAGUAUGUUGUUUCCCCUUUCACGGCUGAGGCCAAGAGGAGGACGUUCAUCGAUGGGACGUACCCGAACUUAUUCAGAGAGGUGGACAAUGCCAAGUGGAAAGUGUUCGAGACAGAAUGGAGGAGAAUUAUCCCCGGAGUUAGCCGCACGAUAGGUCAAAGGACGGUCUCGGACCCUUACAAGUGGUUCCACGAUAUCACCACUGCGGGAGCUUGGCUCGCUGACGAUCACAUCGACCUGGCCAUGGAUUUCCUGUGAGAUCGAGCUCAAAGACAUCCAAAAUCAUUUGAUGUCCAUGG